AAUAACAUUAAAAUCUUCAACUAAUUACAUAAAAGUGGUUAUAAAGUUAAAAUUACACCAUAGGCUAAAACAAGCAUAAAAUAAGAUAAUAGGCCAAUUAUAACAGUUGAGCGACCGUGCUAGAACGAUGGAACUCGGGAAUGCCUAAAACCUUCUCCCGGGUUAACAAAAUUCCUUACCCAGAUUUUUGUGUUCGCGGAUUAUAAUACUGAGUCAAUCUUUUCUUCGAUCGGGAUUUGAACCGGUGACUUGGGACACUAUAAAUUAUCCUAAGUGUCGACUCUGAAUUUUUAAUAAUAUAAUCUCAUUUGGAUUGUCACUUUAAUUUUAAAAACUCCCUUAUCUACGCCCUUCGUGGGGUAUAGUGUAAAAGGAGGUGUGACAGUUAAGUCCGAAAUGGAGGUAAAAUUUGGGCUAUUAUUUAAGUACCC
Molecule: long non-coding RNA, 431 nt
Filed under: Nicotiana benthamiana
Lineage: Eukaryota; Viridiplantae; Streptophyta; Magnoliopsida; Solanales; Solanaceae
Description: long non-coding RNA (NBEN_LNC035697)
Source: RNAcentral